This 460-nucleotide ribosomal RNA is filed under the name uncultured bacterium. RNAcentral describes it as "partial 16S ribosomal RNA". It matches the Rfam family "Bacterial small subunit ribosomal RNA", at positions 338 to 795 of the family's 1533-position model. The record is from RNAcentral.
CCUACGGGAGGCAGCAGUGAGGAAUAUUGGUCAAUGGGCGUAAGCCUGAACCAGCCAAGUCGCGUGAGAGAUGAAGGUUCUAUGGAUCGUAAACCUCGUUUAUAAGGGAAUAAAGUGUGGGACGUGUCCUAUUUUUUAUGUACCUUAUGAAUAAGGAUCGGCUACCUCCGGGCCAGCAGCCGCGGUAAUACGGAGGAUCCGAGCGUUAUCCGGAUUUAUUGUGUUUAACGGGUGCGUAGGCGGCCUUUUAAGUCAGCGGUGAAAGUCUGUGGCUCAACCAUAGAAUUGCCGUUGAAACUGGGGGGCUUGAGUAUGUUUGAGGCAGGCGGAAUGCGUGGUGUAGCGGUGAAAUGCUCAGAUAUCACGCAGAACCCCGAUUGCGAAGGCAGCUUACCAAUCUAUAUCUGACGUUGAGGCACGAAAGCGUGGGGAGCAAACAGGAUUAGAUACCCUUGUAGUC